RNAcentral lists this ribosomal RNA (268 nucleotides) under uncultured bacterium. RNAcentral's name for it is "partial 16S ribosomal RNA". It matches the Rfam family "Bacterial small subunit ribosomal RNA", at positions 85 to 354 of the family's 1533-position model. The record is from RNAcentral.
CCGAUGGCGACCGGCGCACGGGUGAGUAACACGUAUCCAACCUGCCGAUAACUCGGGGAUAGCCUUUCGAAAGAAAGAUUAAUAUCCGAUAGGAUAUCAAGGUCGCAUGAUCUUGAUAUUAAAGAAUUUCGGUUAUCGAUGGGGAUGCGUUCCAUUAGUUAGUUGGCGGGGUAACGGCCCACCAAGACGACGAUGGAUAGGGGUUCUGAGAGGAAGGUCCCCCACACUGGUACUGAGACACGGACCAGACUCCUACGGAAGGCAGCAG